RNAcentral lists this non-coding RNA (22 nucleotides) under Arabidopsis thaliana (thale cress). Lineage: Eukaryota; Viridiplantae; Streptophyta; Magnoliopsida; Brassicales; Brassicaceae. The record is from RNAcentral.
ACCUCAGGUUAGCUACCUCAGG